This 740-nucleotide ribosomal RNA is filed under the name uncultured Bacteroidales bacterium. RNAcentral's name for it is "bacterial SSU rRNA". It matches the Rfam family "Bacterial small subunit ribosomal RNA", at positions 46 to 774 of the family's 1533-position model. Lineage: Bacteria; Pseudomonadati; Bacteroidota; Bacteroidia; Bacteroidales. The record is from RNAcentral.
GCUUAACACAUGCAAGUCGAGGGGCAGCAUGGUCUUAGCUUGCUAAGGCUGAUGGCGACCGGCGCGCGGGUGAGUAACACGUAUCCAACCUGCCGUCUACUCUUGGCCAGCCUUCUGAAAGGAAGAUUAAUCCAGGAUGGGAUCAUGAGUUCACAUGUCCGCAUGAUUAAAGGUAUUUUCCGGUAGACGAUGGGGAUGCGUUCCAUUAGAUAGUAGGCGGGGUAACGGCCCACCUAGUCAACGAUGGAUAGGGGUUCUGAGAGGAAGGUCCCCCACAUUGGAACUGAGACACGGUCCAAACUCCUACGGGAGGCAGCAGUGAGGAAUAUUGGUCAAUGGGCGAUGGCCUGAACCAGCCAAGUAGCGUGAAGGAUGACUGCCCUAUGGGUUGUAAACUUCUUUUAUAAAGGAAUAAAGUCGGGUAUGCAUACCCGUUUGCAUGUACUUUAUGAAUAAGGAUCGGCUAACUCCGUGCCAGCAGCCGCGGUAAUACGGAGGAUCCGAGCGUUAUCCGGAUUUAUUGGGUUUAAAGGGAGCGUAGAUGGAUGUUUAAGUCAGUUGUGAAAGUUUGCGGCUCAACCGUAAAAUUGCAGUUGAUACUGGAUGUCUUGAGUGCAGUUGAGGCAGGCGGAAUUCGUGGUGUAGCGGUGAAAUGCUUAGAUAUCACGAAGAACUCCGAUUGCGAAGGCAGCCUGCUAAGCUGCAACUGACAUUGAGGCUCGAAGUGUGGGUAUCAAACA